Molecule: non-coding RNA, 73 nt
Filed under: Neobacillus bataviensis
Lineage: Bacteria; Bacillati; Bacillota; Bacilli; Caryophanales; Bacillaceae
Source: RNAcentral
GAACACCGUAUGUGGUAAAAGUCGCUUGUACGGUGUAGAGGAGGGGUGCGACAAGAAGUAACUUCUUCCGCAC